AGCUACGUUUAAAAAUACUUCUUUAAAAUACAGUGAAAACUACUACAAGUGUACAUCUUCAAUAGCCUAGACAGCUACUUACAUAUUUGAUAAAUUUAUAGAACGAAAUGACGAAUAUGCAUAAAGACGUUCACAUAUAAGAAGUCUUCCACAGAUGCACAGAGCGCUUGUAGAGUAGUUGUCAGCGCAGAAAUAUACUAAUAUAUGUGCCUUAGCUUCAGUUUUCAGUUUGGGUCUCAGCAGCUUGCAGCUUAGUGGCUGUGAUUGCAGGCAGGCAGCAGCAGCAGGCAGGCAGACAGCAACUGUUGCUGCCGUCGUUGACACGCCUGCAAUUGCACUGAUAUGAAUCACGGGACCCGGCAAGAGCUGAGUGAACGAGAACUGAACUUAAAUAUGAUUUUUAGGAAAACUAAUUUCAAGUGAAUGUUAAGCAGCUUUGCCUGGCCACGAAAUGCAAUUAAGAAACUGUCUCAGCCUUUGACAUAACUCAGAGGCCGAUUACCUUUCGGACUGCCACAAAUCAACGCAACUGCCGCCUACGAGCGCGUUAUCGAGCCUCGUUUACUGCGGCUUUUGUCUCGGUCUGGACCACAGCAGGGUGUGGCGCCAGGGACAGUGCAGGACAUGGCCAAUGGCCAAUGGCCAUUGCCAAGUGGAAGCGCAUGCGCAGCGGGUUUUAUGCAUUUUAAUGCCUGGUCCUCGAUCUGAAGCUGGACCCAGUUGGAGCCUGUCGAUCGUUGUUUAUGUUGGUGUUAUUUUCAUUGCAAACAAAUGAUGAGGAACACGCAAACGCACUCAAAGCCCAACCAUAUCGUCGCUGCAGACACACUGAAACAGAAAUUGAAAUCAAAAUAACUUGGACGAAGGUAGAGCGAGUCUUGGGAGACAGCAGCGGCAACGACAUACAUUAACUUGCCAGCUAAAAUUUAGUAAAACUUAUGCUUGAUUUUUAAGUGGAAAAAGAAAUGUAUUUUACGAGCCCAAAUUGAAGAAACGCGAGUCCUGAGCACAUUCAGAGAUGUGCUUAUGUGCACAAGAGAAACAACCGUUACAUAAACCAUUAAGAAUGUGAUUUAA
Long non-coding RNA from Drosophila hydei, 1077 nucleotides. RefSeq lists it as uncharacterized. The record is from RefSeq and is a predicted model, not a curated record. The transcript has 3 exons. Lineage: Eukaryota; Metazoa; Arthropoda; Insecta; Diptera; Drosophilidae.